Dermacentor silvarum is the source of this 1027-nucleotide long non-coding RNA. RefSeq lists it as uncharacterized. The transcript has 2 exons. Lineage: Eukaryota; Metazoa; Arthropoda; Arachnida; Ixodida; Ixodidae. The record is from RefSeq and is a predicted model, not a curated record.
UGACCACCUGGGGUUCUUAGUGCACUACAACGCAAUUCUGAAUAUACUGUUGAGCGAAGGGUGUGCUCUUCAGUCACAUGACUUUCAAUCCAUUAAAUCCUUCUACAAUGUUGCUGAGAACAUGGUGCUAUUCUUGUUCAACGCAGGCUGCAAAAAUAUGGCUACAGGAUUUAUAGGCGACCUCAAGAUGUGGCAAGGUACGUCACCCUCGCCCACGUGAAAAGCACGCCGAGCGAGCAAAGAAUGGGGCUCCUCAACCGCUGGUCAAGCCGCAUCACCACGGACGGUCUAAACAGCCUCAAGUACAGACGCAUGGACAUGGCGUUCAAGAAGCUCUACACUUGGAUUCUGGUAGACCUGCGAGAGCGCAAAUGACCUUGAAGAAGAGCCCAUCGGAAUGGACGCCCUGGAGUUCACGCUUCUAUAGCAGUUCAGCAUGUACGUACAAACAACGGCACGAGACAUAGUUUCGCCUGCCAAGCGCAGCAAGACGAAGUGUCACAGGGAGAAGACAACAUAGGUGCCAGUAUUCGUCUUGUCAGUCUUCGUUUUGCUGCGCUUUAUUCCAUUUCUGCAGUCAUGCAACACCAACUAUCUCAACGUCGCUCACUGCUGCGUAUUUCAAAGACUGUGCACGUGUAACAUGUUCCGCAAUACUGUGGUUUAUUUAGAACAGAGUGCAACUACUUAUCGAUUUACACACUUAUCCUUUUCGUCGGGCGAUACGUUUUCUAUGGCGUGUUCGCAGAGGUCUGUUCAAAGUGAUAUACUCGCAGUGACCGCGGCACGUAAGCAGUGAGAUGUAUGCUUUCUUUUUUUUUUUUUUGGUGUGACGCUCAUCGUAAAGCUCUACCUAGUGUCAUCAACACGGACGGACGCCUCAGUUUCUGCGAAGAUUUGUGAACUGCGAGCUUGAGUGCUGUCUUCUUGCUGUGAUUUUCUAUUAUUGUUUUUUAUUUACUUGACGAAAAACUUGGUGAUACAUUUUACGUACACGUCAUAACAUAAAUAAACAUACAAAACUAAG